AGAGUUUGAUCAUGGCUCAGAUUGAACGCUGGCGGCAUGCCUAACACAUGCAAGUCGAACGGCAGCACGGUGCGUAGCAAUACGUAUGGGUGGCGAGUGGCGGACGGGUGAGUAACGCGUAGGAAUCUGCCUUGUAGAGGGGGGAUAACCCGAGGAAACUCGGGCUAAUACCGCAUGAAUUCGGGAGAAUAAAGCUGGGGAGACCUGGCGCUAUAAGAGGAGCCUGCGUCCGAUUAGCUAGUUGGUUAGGUAAAGGCUGACCAAGGCGAUGAUCGGUAGCUGGUCUGAGAGGAUGAUCAGCCACACUGGGACUGAGACACGGCCCAGACUCCUACGGGAGGCAGCAGUGGGGAAUAUUGGACAAUGGGGGCAACCCUGAUCCAGCAAUGCCGCGUGUGUGAAGAAGGCCUUCGGGUUGUAAAGCACUUUAGUUGGGGAAGAAGUUAAUUUGUUUAAGAGAUGAAUUAGUUGACGGUACCCAAAGAAUAAGCACCGGCUAACUCUGUGCCAGCAGCCGCGGUAAUACAGAGGGUGCGAGCGUUAAUCGGAAUUACUGGGCGUAAAGGGCGCGUAGGCGGUUGAUUAAGUAGGAUGUGAAAUUCCCGGGCUUAACCUGGGGGACUGCAUCUUAGACUGAUGAACUGGAGUGCAGUAGAGGGGUAGUGGAAUUUCCGGUGUAGCGGUGAAAUGCGUAGAUAUCGGAAGGAACACCGGUGGCGAAGGCGGCUACCUGGACUGACACUGACGCUGAGACGCGAAAGCGUGGGGAGCAAACAGGAUUAGAUACCCUAGUAGUCC
This 798-nucleotide ribosomal RNA is filed under the name uncultured bacterium. Its description in RNAcentral is "bacterial SSU rRNA". It matches the Rfam family "Bacterial small subunit ribosomal RNA", at positions 8 to 796 of the family's 1533-position model. The record is from RNAcentral.